Molecule: long non-coding RNA, 391 nt
Organism: Centrocercus urophasianus (Greater sage-grouse)
Lineage: Eukaryota; Metazoa; Chordata; Aves; Galliformes; Phasianidae
Exons: 3
Source: RefSeq, a predicted model, not a curated record
UUAUCACCUGAGGGAAAAGAGUAGUGUGAAGUGAAGGGCUGCUGCCGUUUUGAGGUUCUCCUGACUUUCCAGUUGAUCUGUAGCAAAGUGCAUUCAGAAAAGAGUUGAGCAUCACUGCUGACAGCUCAGCAAAAGCUCCAGAGAGUUUUUACAAGGAUGACAUGGAUGUAGUGGAGAGAGUCCAGUAAAGGACCAUGAAGAUGAUGAAGGAUCUGAAACAUCUCUCUUAUGAGGAAGAAAUCACGCUGCACAGCGCUUCCAAGUAUGAACAAAUCUAAAUGAAGACAGCUGGCAGAGGCUCUCGUCAUCUAACUCCUUCCAGAUGUGUACUUGUAUGCCGCAGUUCCUGACUGGUGACACCUCCGAUGGAAUCCUUGGGGACAUGGCGGUG